RNAcentral lists this ribosomal RNA (497 nucleotides) under uncultured bacterium. RNAcentral's name for it is "partial 16S ribosomal RNA". It matches the Rfam family "Bacterial small subunit ribosomal RNA", at positions 28 to 507 of the family's 1533-position model. The record is from RNAcentral.
GAUGAACGCUGGCGGCGUGCCUAAUACAUGCAAGUCGAGCGAACGGACGAGAAACUUGCUUCUCUGAUGUUAGCGGCGGACGGGUGAGUAACACGUGGAUAACCUACCUAUAAGACUGGGAUAACUUCGGGAAACCGGAGCUAAUACCGGAUGAUAUCUUGAACCGCAAGGUUCAAAAGUGAAAGACGGACUUGCAGUCACUUAAAGAGGGACCCGCGCUGCAUUAGUUAGUUGGUAGGGUAACGGCUUACCAAGGCAACGAAGCAUAGCCGACCUGAGAGGUGGAUCGGCCACACUGGAACUGAGACACGGUCCAGACUCCUACGGGAGGCAGCAGUAGGGAAUCUUCCGCAAUGGGCGAAAGCCUGACGGAGCAACGCCGCGUGAGUGAUGAAGGUCUUCGGAUCGUAAAACUCUGUUAUUAGGGAAGAACAUAUGUGUAAGUAACUGUGCACAUCUUGACGGUACCUAAUCAGAAAGCCACGGCUAACUACGUG